UUGGGGUGUAGCUUUAAAUUUUUAAUGUAGAAUUUUGUUUGAAUAUUUCUUUUAUGUAGCAUAGAUAAUAUAGCUGUGAGAAUUAAAUGAGAAAAAUUUAUAAAAUUGAAAAAUAUUCCUAGAUCAAUAUUUUUUCUCUACAGCUUACAAAUUAAAUCUUUGAAGGUUCGAAUGUGACUGUAAAAAUUUAAUUGUCGGUAAGUUGGUUGUAGAUGUAAAGUUGCUACUAUAAAUUUUUUUGCAUAGACUUUUGUUGUAACUAGAGAUUUUUUCCGCGCUUCGCGCGGAUUAUGUCUUAUAAAUUUAUUUUAUUUAUAAUAUUAUUUGUUAAUUUUUUUCUUUUAUAUUAACUUCUUGUUUUUCCAAUGUUAGUUUUUCUUAAUUUAAAUUUAUAUGUUAAUAAUUUUUCAUUUUUUUUGUUGUAGAUGGAGAAUUAUAUUUUUUAUUGAUGGUUUUUUGUAUGUGAUAGUGACAUAAACUUUUUGAAAUUUUAAAAUAAUAUUAUAUAUAGUACGAUUAACACAUUAAAGAAGAGAAACAUAUUCAGACACAUUUUACACAGGUUUUAUAUGCAUAAUUUUAAACAUUAUAUAUGUAUAUAUUAUAAGUUUGAAACAUGUAAAUGCUUUCUAAAGCUAAAUACUUGUUCUGAGUUUACAUAACUUAUCGAAAGUUUUAUCUCUUUUUAAAUUCAAAUCACAGAAAAAAUAUAAAAAAAGUCAGUAUAGAUAGGUUUUUU
This 739-nucleotide long non-coding RNA is filed under the name Brassica rapa (field mustard). Its description in RNAcentral is "long non-coding RNA (BRAP_LNC007889)". Lineage: Eukaryota; Viridiplantae; Streptophyta; Magnoliopsida; Brassicales; Brassicaceae. The record is from RNAcentral.